GAGUGGCGGACGGGUGAGUAACGCGUAGGAAUCUGCCUUAUAGUGGGGGACAACGUGGGGAAACCCACGCUAAUACCGCAUACGCCCUACGGGGGAAAGGAGGGGAUCUUCGGACCUUUCGCUAUGAGAUGAGCCUGCGUUAGAUUAGCUAGUUGGUAGGGUAAAGGCCUACCAAGGCGACGAUCUAUAGCUGGUCUGAGAGGACGAUCAGCCACACUGGGACUGAGACACGGCCCAGACUCCUACGGGAGGCAGCAGUGGGGAAUAUUGGACAAUGGGCGAAAGCCUGAUCCAGCAAUACCGCGUGUGUGAAGAAGGCCUUAGGGUUGUAAAGCACUUUCAAUUGGGAGGAAAACCUGCCGGUCAAUACCCGGCAGCUUGACAUUACCUUUAGAAGAAGCACCGGCUAACUCCGUGCCAGCAGCCGCGGUAAUACGGAGGGUGCGAGCGUUAAUCGGAAUUACUGGGCGUAAAGCGUGCGUAGGUGGCCCGUUAAGUCAGAUGUGAAAGCCCUGGGCUCAACCUGGGAACUGCAUUUGAAACUGGCGGACUAGAGUUUAGUAGAGGGGAGUGGAAUUUCAGGUGUAGCGGUGAAAUGCGUAGAUAUCUGAAGGAACACCAGUGGCGAAGGCGACUCCCUGGACUAAAACUGACGCUGAGGUACGAAAGCGUGGGUAGCAAACAGGAUUAGAUACCCUGGUAGUCCACGCCGUAAACGAUGUCGACUAGCCGUUGGUCCUAUUUACAGGAUUAGUGGCGCAGCUAACGCAUUAAGUCGACCGCCUGGGGAGUACGGCCGCAAGGUUAAAACUCAAAUGAAUUGACGGGGGCCCGCACAAGCGGUGGAGCAUGUGGUUUAAUUCGAUGCAACGCGAAGAACCUUACCUACCC
This 891-nucleotide ribosomal RNA is filed under the name uncultured bacterium. RNAcentral's name for it is "bacterial SSU rRNA". It matches the Rfam family "Bacterial small subunit ribosomal RNA", at positions 93 to 980 of the family's 1533-position model. The record is from RNAcentral.